UUAAAAAUAAUGAAUAAAUAAAUAAAAUAAAUCUAAUGAUAUUUUGACCAAAAAUUGAAAAUAAAUAAAUAAAUAAAUGGAAUAUUAAAUAAAACUGUUUUGUGUUUUUUUUUAAAAAAAAGAAAGAAGAAAAAAAUAAAAAUAAAUAGGCUAAGGACCGAAUUGAAAAUGGACUGAAAUUCGGAGUCAAAAUCGUGAAUAAGUAGAAAAGGUGGCUCGGGGCUGAAAUGAAACGCUUGUUUGAAACAAGGGACUGAUUGCGCAAUAUUUCCCAUCCCCAAAACUCUGCGUUCAAUGUAGACUAAAAAGAAACAUCCAGAAAAUUCGUAGGGUCAAAAUGUAAAAAACAAAAGGGCCGAUUGCAUAUCAGCGCAAAAGGGGAAGGACCCCGCGUGCAAAUAACCCAAUCACCGCGAAAACAUGCGGAUCCUGUGGGCUGCCGGACCGGGUCGCUGGUCAGGGCCAAAACGACGUCGUUUUGGCACCUGACCUGCAGUUGCAAAACAGCGCCGUUUUGUAUUGCUAUAAAAGCCAGAUUUUUUUUAAAUCCUCAUUUUCAAAUCCUCUUCCUAAAAAAAUAGAGAGAAACCUCUCAAAAUGCUCCCCCCAUAUCCGGCGAUAGUCAGUACCGAUGAAAGGCCGCGCCGCCGCCUUGACCAACGGCCGACAGCGAAAUAAAUGGGUUUUUCAACCCUCACUUCGCAGUGUGUUCAAAGAUUGGCCUCUCUCAAACCGUAGGACUGAAAAAGGUCCUUACUACACAAUAGUUCGGCUCCGACGACGACAAAAAGAUCACCGGCACCGGGAUUACAAGGUGACCAGGUGACAGAGCAGUGUCAGACGUGUAAAGGAAGUGGCGUGCGGUAGAAGCAUGAGGCGAUUGGUGAGUUGCGGCGGUGGAGGCUGACCAGGGGGCAGGAGCGACGGCCAGCAACUAUGGUUUUGCUGAAAGAAAAAUUAGUUUUGGGCUAGGGUUUAGUUUAGUUUUGGGCUUGGGGUUAAUUUGGCCUGUUUUUAUUUGUUUUUGGCCUUUAGGCCCAGGUCAAAAUUGACCUGUUACAAUACGUAUAUAGAGUAUAUCAUUAACUUCGGAUUCCCCUUUUUACAUAAUUUUUAUAUAUAAAGGUUUUACUUCUUAAA
Long non-coding RNA from Gossypium raimondii (Peruvian cotton), 1140 nucleotides. RefSeq lists it as uncharacterized. The record is from RefSeq and is a predicted model, not a curated record. Lineage: Eukaryota; Viridiplantae; Streptophyta; Magnoliopsida; Malvales; Malvaceae. The transcript has 2 exons.